GAUGAACGCUAGCGACAGGCUUAACACAUGCAAGUCGAGGGGCAGCGGGGAUGAAGCUUGCUUCAUCCGCCGGCGACCGGCGCACGGGUGAGUAACACGUAUGCAACCUGCCCCUGGCUGGGGGAUAAGCCGGAGAAAUCCGGUCUAAUACCGCGUAACAUCCUUGCGGGACAUCCCGUUAGGAUCAAAGGAAGCGAUUCCGGCCAGGGAUGGGCAUGCGGCGCAUUAGCUAGUCGGCGGGGUAACGGCCCACCGAGGCGACGAUGCGUAGGGGUUCUGAGAGGAAGGUCCCCCACACUGGUACUGAGACACGGACCAGACUCCUACGGGAGGCAGCAGUGAGGAAUAUUGGUCAAUGGGCGCGAGCCUGAACCAGCCAAGUCGCGUGAGGGAAGACGGUCCUAUGGAUUGUAAACCUCUUUUGCCGGGGAGCAAGCUGUGCCACGUGUGGCGCAGCUGAGAGUACCCGGAGAAAAAGCAUCGGCUAACUCCGUGCCAGCCGCCGCCGUAACAC
RNAcentral lists this ribosomal RNA (514 nucleotides) under uncultured bacterium. RNAcentral's name for it is "bacterial SSU rRNA". It matches the Rfam family "Bacterial small subunit ribosomal RNA", at positions 28 to 526 of the family's 1533-position model. The record is from RNAcentral.